GUAGGUGGCAAGCGUUGUCCGGAAUUAUUGGGCGUAAAGCGCGCGCAGGCGGCUCUUUAAGUCUGAUGUGAAAGCCCACGGCUCAACCGUGGAGGGUCAUUGGAAACUGGAGAACUUGAGUACAGAAGAGGAAAGCGGAAUUCCACGUGUAGCGGUGAAAUGCGUAGAGAUGUGGAGGAACACCAGUGGCGAAGGCGGCUUUCUGGUCUGUAACUGACGCUGAGGCGCGAAAGCGUGGGGGAGCAAACAGGAUUAGAUACCCUGGUAGUCCACGCCGUAAACGAUGAGUGCUAAGUGUUAGGGGGUUUCCGCCCCUUAGUGCUGCAGCUAACGCAUUAAGCACUCCGCCUGGGAGUACGGCCGCAAGGCUG
Molecule: ribosomal RNA, 371 nt
Filed under: uncultured organism
Description: partial 16S ribosomal RNA
Rfam family: Bacterial small subunit ribosomal RNA
Source: RNAcentral